UCCCCGUUGGUGAACCAGCGGAAGGAUCAUUA
RNAcentral lists this ribosomal RNA (32 nucleotides) under Plenodomus lingam (blackleg of rapeseed fungus). Its description in RNAcentral is "Leptosphaeria maculans (blackleg of rapeseed fungus) 17S ribosomal RNA". RNAcentral also lists the same sequence under 2 other names. The record is from RNAcentral. Lineage: Eukaryota; Fungi; Ascomycota; Dothideomycetes; Pleosporales; Leptosphaeriaceae.